Long non-coding RNA from Limulus polyphemus (Atlantic horseshoe crab), 1131 nucleotides. RefSeq lists it as uncharacterized. The record is from RefSeq and is a predicted model, not a curated record. The transcript has 3 exons. Lineage: Eukaryota; Metazoa; Arthropoda; Merostomata; Xiphosura; Limulidae.
AACAUUCUUUUAUAACAUUGUACGCAUACAUUCAGAACUAGUUCAUUAAUUAAUCAAGUUUUUUAACAACGUUGUGCGACACAGGAUAAUCGUAAAGAAAUAUAUAUAUAUAUAUAUAUAUGUUUGUGUGUAGGUUCGAUGAAAACGAAGAUUUUAACCCAUAUCCUAUUAGUUUCUCCAUUCGAUAUGAAGCAGAAAUUUAGCAGCUUGUGUACAAUUUUCUUAAGAGUGCUUUAAAUUUUAUGUCUGAAAUUUAGCAGCUUCUGUACGAUUUGCUUAAGAGUGCUCUUAAUUUUAUGUCUGAAAUUUAGCAGCUUGUGUACAAUUUUGCUUAAGAGUGCUCUUAAUUCUAGGUCUGAAAUUUAGCAGCUUGUUUACAGUUUUGGUUAAGAGUGCUCUUAAUUAUAGGUCUGAAAUUUAGCAGCUUCUGUACAAUUCUGAUUAAGAGUGCUCUUAAUUAUAGGUCUGAAAUUUAGCAGCUUGUGUACAACUUUGCUUAAGAGUGCUCUUAAUUCUAGGUCUGAAAUUUAGCAGCUUCUGUACAAUUUGCUUAAGAGUGCUUUUGGUUCUAGGUCUGAAAUUUAGUAGCUUGGGUACAAUUUUGCUUAAGAGUGCUUUUGCGCCUAGGUCCGUGACCCCUCUGAAGAAGGAUAUUGAUGACAUUGUUGAACUCGACGACAAAUGUCCAGAUAUAAUUCCCGCAAAAAAUGUUAACAGAUCACCAGAUUCAGGUAGCAUGGAUGAAAAGGAUCAAAGAUGUAUACAACUGAAUAAAACCAUGGAAACAAGCUACAGUAUAAGAUCUCCAAACAGAAACUAUGUAGUUUCUAAGGAAUCUCUUUACGGUAGUCCCGCGUGUGCAGCCAGCCGUCUUGUAGACGUUUCUUGCCACAGGGGACUUUCAAUUACACUGCAAGCUGAUGACAUAACGUAUUCUGACCUGUCUCUUCUCAAAACUGGCAAUUGCCUUACCAAUGUAAAGCGGCACGAGCCGUCAACAGACCACUCCAAACUAUACUUCAAGAGGAAAGGCCCUGAACAUGACGAAGAAAGUGAAACUUCGCUUGUGAAUAACGGUCGAGAGAGUACAGUUUAAACUGAAAUAGUGGCAGAUAAUUAGUUGUGUGUGAG